AGUGUCAAUGUGCGUGAAAGACACGUCCCUAGGCAACAUGGCUGCCAGCCACUGUAUGGUUCUUGGGACUGGACAGGACUCAGGGACUGUGAGGAGCAGCAGAGAGCCUGUGAAAGGGACUUUUAAUACCUGAGAAGAUUGAGAUUAUGCCCAGGUUCAAAAAUUGUGGAUCCUGCCCUUGCUCCUUUUCGGUUGGCUGCAGAGCUACAGAAUCAUCUUGAGGAAGUCCAGGAACCUCGGCACAGUUUACUAGAUGUUCUGCAGUCUUCUGAGUCCAGGUGAGUCGCCCUGCCCAUCAAUGAAGCCAUUGUGGACCCAGCAAAGACAGUUUGAUACAUUCCUGCUUCUCGUUCUCCCACCCCUAAGAGGGCCAUGAAGCGGUACUAUGCCCUGUCCCAGAGGGCAGAGUUUUUGUUGUCUCACCCUCUGCCAAAUUCCCUGUUGGUCUAGGCAGUUACAGAGCAAUCCAAGCAAUAGCACCCAAAGGCUCUGUGGCCAAUCUGUCUAUGAACCUGGCCUUUCUAAUAGCCAUAAUGUGAGCUGGGAGCACUCAAAAC
Dermochelys coriacea (leatherback sea turtle) is the source of this 557-nucleotide long non-coding RNA. RefSeq lists it as uncharacterized. Lineage: Eukaryota; Metazoa; Chordata; Testudines; Dermochelyidae. The record is from RefSeq and is a predicted model, not a curated record. The transcript has 3 exons.